GUAAGGCCCCUUCGGGGGUACACGAGCAGCGAACGGGUGAGUAUCGCGUGGGUAACCUACCCAGAGAUGGGGGAUAGCCUCGGGAAACCGGGGGUAAUACCGCAUAUGGUCUCGACGACAUAAGUCGACGAGAGCAAAGGCGGGGAUCCUUCGGGACCUGUCGUCUCUGGAUGGGCCCGCGUCCGAUUAGCUAGUUGGUGAGGUAAUGGCUCACCAAGGCUGCGAUCGGUAGCCGGCCUGAGAGGGUGAACGGCCACAUUGGGACUGAGACACGGCCCAGACUCCUACGGGAGGCAGCAGUGGGGAAUAUUGGGCAAUGGGGGAAACCCUGACCCAGCGACGCCGCGUGGAGGAUGACGGCCUUCGGGUUGUAAACUCCUGUCAGGUGGGAAGAAAAGCCUGUCGGCUAAUACCCGGCAGGAAUUGACGGUACCACCAAGGGAAGCCCCGGCUAACUCCGUGCCAGCAGCCGCGGUAAUACGGAGGGGGCAAGCGUUAUUCGGAUUUACUGGGCGUAAAGCGCACGUAGGUGGCAUGGUAAGUCACAGGUGAAAGCCCUCGGCUCAACCGAGGAACUGCCUGUGAAACUG
RNAcentral lists this ribosomal RNA (590 nucleotides) under uncultured bacterium. Its description in RNAcentral is "bacterial SSU rRNA". It matches the Rfam family "Bacterial small subunit ribosomal RNA", at positions 69 to 635 of the family's 1533-position model. The record is from RNAcentral.